This 496-nucleotide ribosomal RNA is filed under the name uncultured bacterium. Its description in RNAcentral is "partial 16S ribosomal RNA". It matches the Rfam family "Bacterial small subunit ribosomal RNA", at positions 28 to 507 of the family's 1533-position model. The record is from RNAcentral.
GAUGAACGCUGGCGGCGUGCCUAAUACAUGCAAGUCGAGCGAACGGACGAGAAGCUUGCUUCUCUGAUGUUAGCGGCGGACGGGGGGGAAACCCGUGGUAAACCAACUUUAAGAACUGGGAUAACUUGGGGAAACGGAGCCAAAUACGGGAAAAUAUUUUGAACCGCAGGUUCCAAAAGUAAAGAAGGGUUUGGCGGUCACUAAAGGAGGAACCGCGCUGCAUUAGCUAGUUGGUAAGGUAACGGCUUACCAAGGCCACGAUGCAUAGCCGACCUGAGAGGGUGAUCGGCCACACUGGAACUGAGACACGGUCCAGACUCCUACGGGAGGCAGCAGUAGGGAAUCUUCCGCAAUGGGCGAAAGCCUGACGGAGCAACGCCGCGUGAGUGAUGAAGGUCUUCGGAUCGUAAAACUCUGUUAUUAGGGAAGAACAUAUGUGUAAGUAACUGUGCACAUCUUGACGGUACCUAACCAGAAAGCCACGGCUAACUACGUG